CCUGAUGGAGCUUGUGCAACACUUUGUCAAGAAGGGUUUCAAAGUAACAUUUGUAAACACCGACUUCAAUCACAAGCGUGUCAUGAAUGCAUUGUUGGAUAAAGAUAGAAAUGUAGGUGACAUGAUACAUAUGGUUUCACUCCCGGAUGGAUUAGACCCUGGGGAGGAUAGGAAUGACAUCGGAAAGUUAUCAGAAGCAGUCUCCAGAGUCAUGCCAGAGAAGCUGGAAAAGCUCAUAAAAAGUAUUAAUGCAACAGACAACAACAAAAUCACCUGCCUUGUUGCCGAUGAGAAUAUGGGAUGGGCCCUGAAAGUUGCAGAGAAGAUGGGAAUCAGGCGAAUAGCCUUCUGGCCUGCAUCAGCUGCAGUGUUGGGCUCCAUAUUCAGUAUCCCAAAGCUGAUUAAAGAUGGAAUCAUAAACAACGAUGGUAUGACCUCAUAUCACUAACUCUUAACUUGGCUAUGCAGUAUAGCAUAAUAAAACAGACAUAAGAUAUAGCUAUAUAUAAUGCUCACCACAUUUAAGAAUAAUGGAGGUUCAUAAUUAAAGUAUAUAUUUCUGUUGGGACAGAAGUAGUUAUCUAAACAAACUAUCAUGAGUAAGUUAAACAUUAUCAAGAGUAAAAUUGAGUGGGAAGCAGAAGACAAUUACCUAACAGGAAAGCAAAUAUUGUGUAUGUUAGUAUGUAUAGGCGUAUGUAGCAUUAACUUGAAUAACUAGCAUUAAAAGUUGGGCUACAAUAAAUAACCAUACCAGUAAAAAUCUUAUCUCUGUUGUUGUUGUUGUUGUUGUUGUUUCUCUUAGGCAAUACUAUUACAACCACUCAAACUGUAACCAUAACUACAAUAUAUCUUUUGAAUAUAAAAUCUGUGUCAAAACUUCCACUGCAGGUACUAUCAUAAAGAACCAGAUGAUUGACGUGUCACCAAACAUGCCUGCGAGGAACACACACUUUGCGUGGGCCUGCUUCGGUGACUUGAAAACACAGAAAAUGUUUUUUGAAAUUGUAGUAAACAACAAUGAAUUUGUGAAACUGGCAGACAGGAUAAUAUGCAACUCAGCUUAUGAGCUUGAGCCAGCAGCAUUUACCUUAAUUCCAAAUAUGUUGCCAAUCGGUCCACUUCUAGCAAGCAACCGGCAUGGUAAUCAAGCAGGCAACUUAUGGCCAGAAGAAUCAACUUGCCUGACAUGGCUUGAUCAACAGCCAGUCUGCUCAGUCAUUUAUGUUGCAUUUGGAAGCUUCACAGUUUUUAACCAGUCACAGUUCCAAGAAUUGGCUCUUGGGCUUGAAUUAACCAACAAGCUAUUCCUGUGGGUUGUGCGGCCAGAUAUGACUAACGAGAUGAAUGAAGCUUACCCAAAAGGUUUUACAGACAGAAUAGGCACUCGUGGACGAAUGGUGGGUUGGGCACCCCAAGAGAAGGUUCUACGCCAUCCUUCUGUGGCUUGUUUCUUGAGCCACUGUGGUUGGAAUUCUACCAUGGAAGGUGUAAGCAAUGGAGUGCCUUUCUUGUGCUGGCCAUACUUUGUUGAUCAGUUCCUUAACCAGAGCUACAUUUGUGAUGUUUGGAAAGUUGGAUUGGGAUUCAACAAAGAUGAAAGUGGAAUCAUCAGGCAGGGAGAAAUUAAGAAUAAGGUGGAGCAUCUACUUGGUGACAGAAAAUUUAAAGCAAGGGCUUUGGAUCUUAAGGAAAAGGUGGUGAAUAGUGUCAAAGGACACGGAAGCUCUCACAAGAAUUUGAGCAAUAUUACUGAUUGGAUGAAAUAAAAGGAUGUCAUGUUGUGAGAAUGCAUUGUUUGUUUAAUUAUGAAAAUUUGGUGGAAAAUGAACCAAAAAGUUGUAAAAAUAAGACAAAAUAGGCGUGUCAAUACCCUAUCUACUAGGGGUUGCCUAGUCUAUAUAAAAUAAUCAAAAUCAAAUUUGACUCUCGUUUUGUGACGGAGGGAAAAUAUUACAUGCAAGUGAUGGAUAAACUUAUCAAAACUCAGCUCGAAUUGUUACUCCCAACUCUCAAGCCCUACAAUUUUGUGUAGUCACGAAAAGUUUGUAAUUACCUUCUCCUUGACAACUUCAAUAUUUUCAUCGGUGGUGAAGACACGUGAGGGGUCCAUAAGGGCUAUAGCCCACCUUAUGUUUGAAUAUAAAAUUAAAAAAAAAAAUGAAAAUAGGAGCAGAGUCGCAGCUAUUCUUUGUCAAAAAAUUUUGCUCAUUUCACUCAUUCUUGUCCCUACUCUAAUUUAGACUUCUCUCUCUAUCACAAACAGGAGUUUUUCUCAGAUUUUUUUUCUGUCUUCUCCUUCAUCAAAAACCCCACUUCAGUCACUGCUCUCCUCUGUCAACUAAAAUGCCAUCCCCCCACAUCUGCUCUCCAUUAUGACCAAAUCAUUAUUUUUAGCCCAAAUUUGUCGAAAUUCAUGGCAACCACACUGUAACAUAUUAAAAAAUACACGAAAAAGAUGGUACCAGACACCGAAUAAAUGACUAAAGAAUAUUAUAGAUCACACCAAGUCACCAACGACACAUGCAUAUUUCUUCACCUUCAUUACUUCAGCCGCCAUCCCAAAGGAGAGUUUAUAAUUAAAGUGAAACAAAUAUGACAAUACUGGGUAGCAAAAUUUGGAACAAUUCACCAAGAUUGAAGUUAGAGGUGAGAGCUUGUGCAACGCUUUGUCAAGAAGAUUUGUGAUGGAAGGAAAUAUCCAUGUGACAUAUAGGUCCACUUAAGAAAAAUCAGCUUGAAUUGAAUUGAUGAUCAGACUCUCAGUGUAAUUUCCUACUCCUUGACAACCUUUGGGGGUCAUAAUAGCUAUAUGACCCAUAUUAUUAAUUACAAAUAUGGGUUGGAAUUAGUUUUGACCCAUAUUAAUCUAUACUUUUUAUAUGCAAAUGUGGGUGAAAGCCCUGCUUUUUGUUGGCUCUUUAGAUGAUACCUAGGUAUUCCACCAGCGGUUAACAACUUUCAGAUACAAUUUUCUAGUAAUUCUAUAUAAAGUUUUCUAAUCACCAACUAGGAAGAUUAGCAAACAUGUUUAAAAAUAUAAUGCUAUCUUAAAAACUGGAGGGUUUGUUAACGUGAAGCAGGAUAACUCGUAUGAUGAUCUCUCUGUUCUGGAGACUACCAAAUUGAAGCAAGCUUGUUAACUCGUAUUGUUAUCUAUCUAUAUUUAUAUGAGUUGACUGGAUUAGAAGCAUAACCAUAUUAUCUAUAUUUAAAAUGGAUAAUACCUAAUGGAUCCAUAACCUAAAAACCAUAACCAACUAAAUCCAUACUAGCUAUAGCCAACCUUUUGUUUGAGUUACAGAAAAGUAGUAGUACUACCAGUUCUCCUUUGUCGACAAAUGUUACUCACCUGACUCACUUCUUCUUGGACGGCGGCCUGCUUCUGUCAAAGGCCUCUGAAAACAACAAACCGUAACAAGUAUCCACUGUUAAGUCGG
This 3440-nucleotide long non-coding RNA is filed under the name Panax ginseng (ginseng). Its description in RNAcentral is "long non-coding RNA (PGIN_LNC007532)". Lineage: Eukaryota; Viridiplantae; Streptophyta; Magnoliopsida; Apiales; Araliaceae. The record is from RNAcentral.